RNAcentral lists this long non-coding RNA (1006 nucleotides) under Cricetulus griseus (Chinese hamster). RNAcentral's name for it is "lncRNA (ENSCGRG00015032738.1)". The record is from RNAcentral. Lineage: Eukaryota; Metazoa; Chordata; Mammalia; Rodentia; Cricetidae.
GUGGGAAACUUUUUCUCUCUGUGAACUAAAAUCUUUUAAAACUUUUUCUCUCAGCAAACUAAAAUAUUUCAUUCCCCCAUCUUUUUUUGUGAGGUUUUAAUCCUAAAACCCAUGGUCCUGCUUAUUGCCUGAGAGCCUGAUAUUGCUGAUUAAGAACUAGGGCUUGGGUUAUGGAUAAGCAUUCUUUAAUAAAUCGGAGUAGGUGAUUAAGAAUAUAUAGCCCAAAAGUAAGCAGCAGUAAAAGAAUAAGUAGGGGUCCUAAGAGGGUGGAGAUUCCUUUAAACCAGCCUUGUUGGAACUCCCGUUCCUUUCACCAUUGGUUGAGUCUUUCUCUGAGCUUGGCCAUGGAAUCCCUAAUAACUCCAGAAUGGUUAACAUAGAAACAGCACUCCUCUUUUAGGGCAGCAUAGAGUAAUCAUGGAAUUGUUGUCUCUCCAGCGUCCCCAUCAGGGAGUGAGAGAUAUGAACUUGUCUACCUUUCUAGUUAGUUGUUUAGGUAUAUCUGGAUCAUUAUCUUCUUAUAGAAUAUUACUUAAAGGAUUUAAAUCAUCAUUAGAUAUCCAAAAAAAUACUUAACCAAUGAAUAUUUCAUAACAAUUUCUAAAAAACUCAUUUAAAAGAUUUUUAAAUUAUCUUUUUUAAUUGUUAUCUAUUAAGCCCCAAUUUCUUUAGAAUAUAACAUAUGUCUUUAACAGUUCUCUAGAUUUAUUUAGAGUUUUUGAGUAGCCUUUUCUAAUCUAAUCUUUGAGGCUGACAAGCUGAUAAGACCUCACCUGCAUGUUAGCUGACCUGCCAAGCUGUGAAUCUAACAGGUUGGCUCUUUUUUGAGGCUUCUCAUAAAUCCUUCUCAAAAUCAUGUAUCAACCCUUAUUUUCUAGAUGUCCUUUUUUGACCAUAAAAUUUUAGUAAGACCUACAUCCUCUCAUCUGCCAAAUUUUAUAGUAUCAUGGAUUCUCAUAUCUCCAAGCUAAUGCUAUAAACUUUUGCUAACUUUUUAAUUGACUAU